AGCUCCAAUAGCGUAUAUUAAAGUUGCUGCAGUUAAAAAGCUCGUAGUUGCAUUUCCGAGGCAAGGGAUUAGUCCGACCUUUGGUGGGUAUUUAAUCCUCUUGCCUCGUCCUUGAGUGGUGCUUCUUGGUAUUAAGUUAUCGAGGAGAUAGCCGCUCAUCGUUUACUGUGAGAAAAUUAGAGUGUUCAAAGCAGGCUUAUGCCGUUGAAUAUAUUAGCAUGGAAUAAUAAGAUAGGACCUCGGUACUAUUUUGGUGGUUUGAGAACCAAGGUAAUGAUGAAUAGGGACAGUUGGGGGUAUUCGUAUUCAGUUGUCAGAGGUGAAAUUCUUAGAUUUACGGAAGACGAACUACUGCGAAAGCAUUUACCAAGGAUGUUUGCA
Molecule: ribosomal RNA, 381 nt
Filed under: uncultured marine Chaetocerotaceae
Lineage: Eukaryota; Bacillariophyta; Thalassiosirophyceae; Chaetocerotales; Chaetocerotaceae
Description: SSU rRNA
Rfam family: Eukaryotic small subunit ribosomal RNA
Source: RNAcentral